CUGUAUCUUAAAGUUCUUUUCUGACCUUAAUUCUGUUAUUUUGUGAUUUUAGCCCUGGUCUAAUUCGUUCUUGGAGGUGAAAGGGAAAUCUUUACCCACGUGAACAUCUGCAAAUGAAGAACUGCCUUCACUUUUCAAAGGCACUACAGACCAGAAGAUUUAAAUCAGCUCUGAUCCCUUCUGUUUCUCAAGAACAACAUGCAGCUUUGGGGCUGACCCAACCCGGACAGGCAGUUCUGGACAGGAUUCUGCUAGAUUUCAGGAGAAUGCUGCAAUAGAAAUUCAGGGUUUUGUCCAUUUUGCUGGAUGAAAAGGGAAGGGCUCAAACAGCAUCCUCUGAUCUGAACUGGCUGGGUGUGAACACGUGGGAAAAAGAAAAUGGGAAUUUUUCCACUGCCACAAAAAGCUGGGAUUGAGUUUUUUCCACUUAAAGGCUGUUUUAAUUAGGACUUGAGUGUCAGAAAUAUCUUUAAAAUUAUCCUAAACAAAAAAUAAAACCCUCUUUUAAUCCCA
This 513-nucleotide long non-coding RNA is filed under the name Cyanistes caeruleus (blue tit). RNAcentral's name for it is "lncRNA (ENSCCEG00000005737.1)". Lineage: Eukaryota; Metazoa; Chordata; Aves; Passeriformes; Paridae. The record is from RNAcentral.